Molecule: ribosomal RNA, 236 nt
Filed under: uncultured bacterium
Lineage: Bacteria
Description: partial 16S ribosomal RNA
Rfam family: Bacterial small subunit ribosomal RNA
Source: RNAcentral
UGAGCAAUCUGCCCUUCUCUUUGGAAUAAGCGUUGGAAACGACGUCUAAUGCCGAAUACGACCUCCUUUCGCAUGAUCGGAGGUGGAAAGCUCCGGCGGAGAAGGAUGAGCUCGCGGCCUAUCAGCUAGUUGGUGUGGGUAAUGGCCCACAAGGCGACGACGGGUAGCCGGCCUGAGAGGGUGACCGGCCACACUGGGACUGAGACACGGCCCAGACCUCCGUACGGGAGGNAGCG